CAAACUUUCGCGCCGAAUCCCCGCUAGGGGAGCGGGGGACCCAAAUCUCGGGGUGAAUCCGGCGUCCGCGUCCGUUCCGACCCGUGCCGCGGCGGGGGGCGAGGGGCAGCCAAGGCUCCAGGCCUGAGGUUCCACCGCCGCGGUCCGGGCGACUGCACCGGGGCGGGGUGGCGCCGGUAGGGCGACUGCGGCCGUCCGAACCCGUCAGCUAACCCCGUAGGCGUGGCUGCAGGAGGCG
Molecule: small RNA, 238 nt
Filed under: Thermaerobacter marianensis
Lineage: Bacteria; Bacillati; Bacillota; Clostridia; Eubacteriales; Clostridiales Family XVII. Incertae Sedis
Also listed under: 1 other name
Description: c-di-AMP sequence
Rfam family: c-di-AMP riboswitch aptamer (ydaO/yuaA leader)
About the family: This family represents a conserved RNA structure found upstream of the ydaO and yuaA genes in Bacillus subtilis and related genes in other bacteria. The ydaO/yuaA element is thought to act as a genetic "off" switch for the ydaO and yuaA genes in its native state.
Source: RNAcentral